AUUGAACGCUGGCGGAAUGCUUUACACAUGCAAGUCGAGCGGCAGCGCGGGGCAACCUGGCGGCGAGCGGCGAACGGGUGAGUAAUGCAUCGGAACAUGUCCAUUCGUGGGGGAUAGCCCGGCGAAAGCCGGAUUAAUACCGCAUACGCCCUGAGGGGGAAAGCGGGGGACUUCGCAAGAGGCCUCGCGCGAAUGGGUUGGCCGAUGUCCGAUUAGCUAGUUGGUGGGGUAAAGGCUUACCAAGGCGAUGAUCGGUAGCUGGUCUGAGAGGAUGAUCAGCCACACUGGGACUGAGACACGGCCCAGACUCCUACGGGAGGCAGCAGUGGGGAAUUUUGGACAAUGGGGGCAACCCUGAUCCAGCCAUUCCGCGUGAGUGAAGAAGGCCUUCGGGUUGUAAAGCUCUUUUGUCCGGAACGAAACGGUUAGCGUGAAUAUCGCUGACUACUGACGGUACC
Molecule: ribosomal RNA, 458 nt
Filed under: uncultured bacterium
Lineage: Bacteria
Description: bacterial SSU rRNA
Rfam family: Bacterial small subunit ribosomal RNA
Source: RNAcentral